This is a long non-coding RNA of Lycium ferocissimum, 758 nucleotides long. RefSeq lists it as uncharacterized. The transcript has 2 exons. NCBI's taxonomy places the organism in Eukaryota, Viridiplantae, Streptophyta, Magnoliopsida, Solanales, Solanaceae. The record is from RefSeq and is a predicted model, not a curated record.
CUACACUUUCUUUGUUUGUAAUCGCCUGUAUUUUGGGGAUUGAUUAUUUUGCUGAAAGUUCUUCUACAUAUACAUACAUCUCAAUUAUUCUUUAGUUUUCUCAAAAAGAUGUAUAAGCUUAGUUAAUGAUGGCGAGUUCUUAAGGAAAUCAAAAAAGAAACGAAGAUGAAGAAGCAACAGUGGAAUUUUGGAAAUUUGAAGAUGAGCUGAAGAGAAGGGAAAAAGAAGUGAUUGGGUUUCUUUUGACUAUUCAGGGAUUGUUGUUUUAUUCUACCAACAUAUAAGGCAUUAUGAACUCUGAUGUACCUAAGCUGUUUGAUAGUAUGCCGACCCGAGACAACUGACAACUCUUUUACUACCUUGUUUUUGUCAUAAAAUUUCUACGACCUACUUCUCUUUCAGUCAAUGAUCUAAAAGAGGACCUUCAAUAGUCAUAGGAUUAGCACAAGGCAAACCAAAUGCACGACAACAUAGUUUCCAUCAUACAAGAUAUAUUAGAAUACUAGCAGGGAAUGUCUGCGCAAUGCACGAACGGUCCACAGUGAGCCAAUUGAAAUAGGAAAUUCUCACACGAUGACACGGUAUGACUUGCGGGUAAGUUGCCAAAGGUCUGUGAAACAAUUGUAGGUACAACAACAAACAAGUGAAAAAAUAUGAAUUGUAGUAGUAGGAUUAGAAUGCAGGGAAUUGGAAAAAUCCUUAUUGCUGUGAACUUUUUAGUGAUCUUUUUCUUUACUAAAUAAAUUAGGAUUACUAGA